This 231-nucleotide ribosomal RNA is filed under the name Triticum aestivum (bread wheat). Its description in RNAcentral is "partial small subunit ribosomal RNA". The record is from RNAcentral. Lineage: Eukaryota; Viridiplantae; Streptophyta; Magnoliopsida; Poales; Poaceae.
AUGGUGAGGCAUAAAGGAAAAGGUGGAAUGAGUUUUAAAGACCUUACGAUGUUCAAUCAAGCCCUCUUAGCACGGCAAGCCUGGUGUCUUAUGCAGUUUCCGGAAAGUCUCUGUGCACAGGUUCUGCGGGUCAAGUACUAUCCGGAUGGGUCCAUUCUUGACAUUGUCUUUAUCGACAAUGGAUCAUCAACAUGGAACGCCAUUGAGCAUGGCCUGCAAUUAGUGAAGUAG